RNAcentral lists this ribosomal RNA (249 nucleotides) under uncultured bacterium. RNAcentral describes it as "partial 16S ribosomal RNA". It matches the Rfam family "Bacterial small subunit ribosomal RNA", at positions 57 to 305 of the family's 1533-position model. The record is from RNAcentral.
GCAAGUCGAACGAGAUUCUAGUUUUCGGAUUAGAUGAAAGUGGCGCACGGGUGCGUAACGCGUAUGCAACCUACCCUUUACUGGAGGAUAGCCCGGAGAAAUUCGGAUUAAUACUCCAUAGUAUUACAGAUUGGCAUCAUGAAGUAAUUAAAGAUUUAUUGGUAAAGGAUGGGCAUGCGUGACAUUAGUUAGUUGGUAAGGUAACGGCUUACCAAGACUAUGAUGUCUAGGGGUUCUGAGAGGAUGAUC